GCUGAAAGCGAAGAAGCUACGAUUGUCUCCAAAUGUUGGGCUUCCGGCAGUAGGGAGUGCGCCGCAGCGACGUAGUCCGAACGCGGGUAACACGUUAUAAGGGGUGACGACGGAGGGCAUCCUCAGACCCGGCACAGAGUCAGGGUCACACCGGCCAGUGGGAGAGUCCGGCCGAUGGGCAGCAGCGGAACCAUUCGGUAAUGGAGUGGUUGUUCGACUAUCCGGCACUCGGGUAGAUUUUGGUGAGGUAUUGCGAAAGGUGGUUGUGGGGUACGCCUCUAACCAGCAUAGGCCAUAAUCUGGGUCAAAGGGUCCGAAUAGGGUCUCAGUUUCCAUCCAGUGAGUGCAUAAUGAGUGGGCAAGCGGUGAUUAGGUGGAUCGUUCGAUCCGAAGUAGCAAGCUGAACGUACACAAUUCGUGCGGCGGUCGCAAGCAGGACUCGGUUCUAGUUUGAGAUUU
This 459-nucleotide ribosomal RNA is filed under the name Rothia dentocariosa. Its description in RNAcentral is "partial 16S ribosomal RNA". Lineage: Bacteria; Bacillati; Actinomycetota; Actinomycetes; Micrococcales; Micrococcaceae. The record is from RNAcentral.